Molecule: transfer RNA, 73 nt
Filed under: Buchnera sp. (in: enterobacteria)
Lineage: Bacteria; Pseudomonadati; Pseudomonadota; Gammaproteobacteria; Enterobacterales; Erwiniaceae
Also listed under: 9 other names
Description: tRNA-Gly
Rfam family: tRNA
About the family: Transfer RNA (tRNA) molecules are approximately 80 nucleotides in length. Their secondary structure includes four short double-helical elements and three loops (D, anti-codon, and T loops).
Source: RNAcentral
GCGGGAAUAGCUCAGUUGGUAGAGUACAACCUUGCCAAGGUUGGGGUCGCGAGUUCGAAUCUCGUUUCCCGCU